Molecule: ribosomal RNA, 1227 nt
Filed under: uncultured bacterium
Lineage: Bacteria
Description: bacterial SSU rRNA
Rfam family: Bacterial small subunit ribosomal RNA
Source: RNAcentral
UGUAUAGAUAACCUGCCCUUAAGAAAGGAAUAACAGUUGGAAACGACUGCUAAUGCCCUAUAUGCCUUUAAUACAUAAGUAUGCAAGGGAAACGCUUUAGUGCUUAAGGAUGGGUCUGUAUGGUAUCAGCUUGUUGGUGAGGUAAUGGCUCACCAAGGCUAUGACGCCUAACUGGUUUGAGAGGAUGAUCAGUCACACUGGAACUGAGACACGGUCCAGACUCCUACGGGAGGCAGCAGUGGGGAAUAUUGCACAAUGGACGAAAGUCUGAUGCAGCAACGCCGCGUGGAGGAUGACACAUUUCGGUGCGUAAACUCCUUUUAUAUAGGAAGAUAAUGACGGUACUAUAUGAAUAAGCACCGGCUAACUCCGUGCCAGCAGCCGCGGUAAUACGGAGGGUGCAAGCGUUACUCGGAAUCACUGGGCGUAAAGAGCGUGUAGGCGGGUAUAUAAGUCAGAAGUGAAAUCCUAUAGCUUAACUAUAGAACUGCUUUUGAAACUGUAUACCUAGAAAUGUGGGAGAGGUAGAUGGAAUUUUCUGGGGUAGGGGUAAAAUCCGUAGAGAUCAGAAGGAAUACCGAUUGCGAAGGCGAUCUACUGGAACAUUAUUGACGCUGAGACGCGAAAGCGUGGGGGAGCAAACAGGAUUAGAUACCCUGGUAGUCCACGCCCUAAACGAUGUACACUAGUUGUUGUGAGGCUCGACCUUGCAGUAAUGCAGUUAACACAUUAAGUGUACCGCCUGGGGAGUACGGUCGCAAGAUUAAAACUCAAAGGAAUAGACGGGGACCCGCACAAGCGGUGGAGCAUGUGGUUUAAUUCGACGAUACACGAAGAACCUUACCUGGACUUGACAUAGUAAGAACUUUCUAGAGAUAGAUUGGUGUCUGCUUGCAGAAACUUAUAUACAGGUGCUGCACGGCUGUCGUCAGCUCGUGUCGUGAGAUGUUGGGUUAAGUCCCGCAACGAGCGCAACCCUCGUCAUUAGUUGCUAACAGUUCGGCUGAGAACUCUAAUGAGACUGCCUACGCAAGUAGGAGGAAGGUGAGGACGACGUCAAGUCAUCAUGGCCCUUACGUCCAGGGCUACACACGUGCUACAAUGGGGUAUACAAAGAGCAGCAAUACGGUGACGUGGAGCAAAUCUCAAAAAUAUCUCCCAGUUCGGAUUGUAGUCUGCAACUCGACUACAUGAAGUUGGAAUCGCUAGUAAUCGUAGAUCAGCUUG